RNAcentral lists this ribosomal RNA (434 nucleotides) under uncultured Lachnospiraceae bacterium. RNAcentral's name for it is "bacterial SSU rRNA". It matches the Rfam family "Bacterial small subunit ribosomal RNA", at positions 341 to 792 of the family's 1533-position model. Lineage: Bacteria; Bacillati; Bacillota; Clostridia; Lachnospirales; Lachnospiraceae. The record is from RNAcentral.
ACGGGAGGCAGCAGUGGGGAAUAUUGCACAAUGGGGGAAACCCUGAUGCAGCGACGCCGCGUGAAGGAAGAAGUAUUUCGGUAUGUAAACUUCUAUCAGCAGGGAAGAAACUGACGGUACCUGACUAAGAAGCACCGGCUAAAUACGUGCCAGCAGCCGCGGUAAUACGUAUGGUGCAAGCGUUAUCCGGAUUUACUGGGUGUAAAGGGAGCGUAGACGGCAGGGCAAGUCUGAAGUGAAAGCCCGCGGCUCAACUGCGGGACUGCUUUGGAAACUGUUAAGCUAGAGUGCUGGAGAGGUAAGCGGAAUUCCUAGUGUAGCGGUGAAAUGCGUAGGUAUUAGGAGGAACACCAGUGGCGAAGGCGGCCUACUGGGCUGUAACUGACGCAGAGGCUCGAAAGCGUGGGUAGCAAACAGGAUUAGAUACCCUGGUA